GAUGAACGCUGGCGGCGUGCCUAAUACAUGCAAGUCGAGCGAACGGACGAGAAGCUUGCUCCUCUGAUGUUAGCGGCGGACGGGUGAGUAACACGUGGAUAACCUACCUAUAAGACUGGGAUAACUUCGGGAAACCGGAGCUAAUACCGGAUAAUAUUUUGAACCGCAUGGUUCAAAAGUGAAAGACGGUUUUGCUGUCACUUAUAGAUGGAUCCGCGCUGCAUUAGCUAGUUGGUAAGGUAACGGCUUACCAAGGCAACGAUGCGUAGCCGACCUGAGAGGAUGAUCAGCCACACUGGAACUGAGACACGGUCCAGACUCCUACGGGAGGCAGCAGUAGGGAAUCUUCCGCAAUGGGCGAAAGCCUGACGGAGCAACGCCGCGUGAGUGAUGAAGGUCUUCGGAUCGUAAAACUCUGUUAUUAGGGAAGAACAAAUGUGUAAGUAACUGUGCACAUCUUGACGGUACCUAAUCAGAAAGCCACGGCUAACUACGUG
Molecule: ribosomal RNA, 497 nt
Filed under: uncultured bacterium
Lineage: Bacteria
Description: partial 16S ribosomal RNA
Rfam family: Bacterial small subunit ribosomal RNA
Source: RNAcentral